Molecule: ribosomal RNA, 484 nt
Filed under: uncultured bacterium
Lineage: Bacteria
Description: partial 16S ribosomal RNA
Rfam family: Bacterial small subunit ribosomal RNA
Source: RNAcentral
AUUGAACGCUGGCGGCAGGCCUAACACAUGCAAGUCGAGCGGAUGAAGGGAGCUUGCUCCUGGAUUCAGCGGCGGACGGGUGAGUAAUGCCUAGGAAUCUGCCUGGUAGUGGGGGAUAACGUCCGGAAACGGGCGCUAAUACCGCAUACGUCCUGAGGGAGAAAGUGGGGGAUCUUCGGACCUCACGCUAUCAGAUGAGCCUAGGUCGGAUUAGCUAGUUGGUGGGGUAAAGGCCUACCAAGGCGACGAUCCGUAACUGGUCUGAGAGGAUGAUCAGUCACCCUGGAACUGAGACACGGUCCAGACUCCUACGGGAGGCAGCAGUGGGGAAUAUUGGACAAUGGGCGAAAGCCUGAUCCAGCCAUGCCGCGUGUGUGAAGAAGGUCUUCGGAUUGUAAAGCACUUUAAUUUGGGAGGAAGGGCAGUAAGUUAAUACCUUGCUGUUUUGACGUUACCAACAGAAUAAGCACCGGCUAACUUCGUG